Solanum verrucosum is the source of this 314-nucleotide long non-coding RNA. RefSeq lists it as uncharacterized. NCBI's taxonomy places the organism in Eukaryota, Viridiplantae, Streptophyta, Magnoliopsida, Solanales, Solanaceae. The transcript has 2 exons. The record is from RefSeq and is a predicted model, not a curated record.
CUUUUUCUGAAUGAUACAGAUGUUUCCAGUCACAUUUGCCAACAAACUGCAUUGAUGGACUAUGAGCACCCAAGUCUUUUGAUGUGACUUGACAUUUGAAAUAAAAAAGAACAUGGCAAAGCGCUAGUGAAACAAGUAAACUGGAUGUCAAUCUCCCUUUUAUUUUCUUUUUCUUUUUUGCGGACAUAGUGAACUUGUUUUGUUGUAUAAAAUGGGUUGUACGAUGCUUUGUAUUUUGUGGAUUUCGAAACUGCUAAGAAAAGGCUUGUGACUGUGCGUAUAUAGAUAUGCUUCUGCCUUUAUGUUCUGUUAAA